RNAcentral lists this ribosomal RNA (1147 nucleotides) under Vibrio parahaemolyticus. Its description in RNAcentral is "partial 23S ribosomal RNA". It matches the Rfam family "Bacterial large subunit ribosomal RNA", at positions 1 to 1195 of the family's 2925-position model. Lineage: Bacteria; Pseudomonadati; Pseudomonadota; Gammaproteobacteria; Vibrionales; Vibrionaceae. The record is from RNAcentral.
GUUGUAUGGUUAAGUGACUAAGCGUACACGGUGGAUGCCUUGGCAGUCAGAGGCGAUGAAAGACGUAGUAACUUGCGAUAAGCCCAGAUUAGGUAGUAACAACCAUUUGAGUCUGGGAUUUCUGAAUGGGGAAACCCACGUGCAUAAGCACGUAUCCUUACCUGAAUACAUAGGGUAAGGAGGCGAACCGGGGGAACUGAAACAUCUAAGUACCCCGAGGAAAAGAAAUCAACCGAGAUUCCGAAAGUAGCGGCGAGCGAAAUUGGACUAGCCCUUAAGCUUUACACACGUUAGACGAACGGUCUGGAAAGUCCGACGAUACAGGGUGAUAGUCCCGUAGUUGACGACGUGUGUUCAGUGAAAUCGAGUAGGGCGGGACACGUGAUAUCCUGUCUGAAUAUGGGGGGACCAUCCUCCAAGGCUAAAUACUACUGACUGACCGAUAGUGAACCAGUACCGUGAGGGAAAGGCGAAAAGAACCCCUGUGAGGGGAGUGAAAUAGAACCUGAAACCGUGUACGUACAAGCAGUAGGAGCAGGCUUUGUCCUGUGACUGCGUACCUUUUGUAUAAUGGGUCAGCGACUUAUAUUCAGUGGCAAGGUUAACCAUCUAGGGGAGCCGUAGGGAAACCGAGUCUUAACUGGGCGUUCAGUCUCUGGAUAUAGACCCGAAACCAGGUGAUCUAGCCAUGGGCAGGUUGAAGGUUGAGUAACAUCAACUGGAGGACCGAACCGACUAAUGUUGAAAAAUUAGCGGAUGACUUGUGGCUAGGGGUGAAAGGCCAAUCAAACCUGGAGAUAGCUGGUUCUCCCCGAAAGCUAUUUAGGUAGCGCCUCGGACGAAUACUACUGGGGGUAGAGCACUGUUAAGGCUAGGGGGUCAUCCCGACUUACCAACCCUUUGCAAACUCCGAAUACCAGUAAGUACUAUCCGGGAGACACACGGCGGGUGCUAACGUCCGUCGUGGAGAGGGAAACAACCCAGACCGCCAGCUAAGGUCCCAAAUUACUACUAAGUGGGAAACGAUGUGGGAAGGCUCAGACAGCCAGGAUGUUGGCUUAGAAGCAGCCAUCAUUUAAAGAAAGCGUAAUAGCUCACUGGUCGAGUCGGCCUGCGCGGAAGAUGUAACGGGGCUAAGUAGUAAACC